Molecule: ribosomal RNA, 120 nt
Filed under: uncultured bacterium
Lineage: Bacteria
Description: partial 16S ribosomal RNA
Rfam family: Bacterial small subunit ribosomal RNA
Source: RNAcentral
CACGCCGUAAACGAUGUCAACUAGCCGUCAGGCCCGCUUUAGGGUUUGGUGGUGGAGCUAACGUAUUAAGUUGACCGCCUGGGGAGUACGCUCGCAAGAGUAAAACUCAAAGGAAUUGAC